Molecule: transfer RNA, 79 nt
Filed under: Desulfobacterales bacterium
Lineage: Bacteria; Pseudomonadati; Thermodesulfobacteriota; Desulfobacteria; Desulfobacterales
Description: tRNA-Asp
Rfam family: tRNA
About the family: Transfer RNA (tRNA) molecules are approximately 80 nucleotides in length. Their secondary structure includes four short double-helical elements and three loops (D, anti-codon, and T loops).
Source: RNAcentral
GGGGGCGUAGUUCAGUUUGGUUUAGAACGCCGGCCUGUCACGCCGGAGGUCGCGAGUUCGAGUCUCGUCGUCCCCGCCA